This 60-nucleotide microRNA precursor is filed under the name Panagrellus redivivus. RNAcentral's name for it is "microRNA prd-mir-7910b precursor". It matches the Rfam family "mir-7910 microRNA precursor family". The record is from miRBase by way of RNAcentral. Lineage: Eukaryota; Metazoa; Nematoda; Chromadorea; Rhabditida; Panagrolaimidae.
UUUGAAAUGGCGCAGUCCCUAUUCAACGGCGGUUUGAUUAGGCCUUGCUUCAUUUCAAAU